UUAGAGGAAGUAAAAGUCGUAACAAGGUUUCCGUAGGUGAACCUGCGGAAGGAUCAUUAUCGAACGAAACGUAGAGUUCGGUUGUAGCUGGCCUGCAAAGGCACGUGCACGCCUUUCUCUUUCAUCCACACACCCCUGUGCACUUGUGAGACGGGGGGCUUCAUGUUCUCUUUAGUCGGGGAGCUGGGCCUCCGUCUGCCUUCAUACAAACUCUUCUACUUAAUACGAAUGUAACCGAUGUUAAACGCAUCUAUAUACAAAGUUUCAACAACGGAUCUCUUGGCUCUCGCAUCGAUGAAGAACGCAGCGAAAUGCGAUAAGUAAUGUGAAUUGCAGAAUUCAGUGAAUCAUCGAAUCUUUGAACGCACCUUGCGCUCCUUGGUAUUCCUUGGAGCAUGCCCGUUUGAGUAUCAUGAAAUUCUCAGAGUAAAUCUUUCGUUGACUCGAUGGACUUUGCUUUGGACUUGGAGGUCUGCAGGUCUUUCACAGUCUGCUCCUCUCAAACACAUUAGCUGGAUCUCAGUGAACUUGGUUCCACUCGGCGUGAUAAGUAUCACUCGCUGAGGACACUCGUAAAAAAGGUGGCCAGGCUUGCGGACGAACCGCUUCUAACGGUCUAUUGACUUAGACAACACGUUUAUGAUCUGAUCUCAAAUCAGGUAGGACUACCCGCUGAACUUAAGCAUAUCAAUA
Molecule: ribosomal RNA, 693 nt
Filed under: Ceratobasidiaceae sp. 5 MB-2012
Lineage: Eukaryota; Fungi; Basidiomycota; Agaricomycetes; Cantharellales; Ceratobasidiaceae
Description: eukaryotic LSU rRNA
Rfam family: 5.8S ribosomal RNA (bases 260-413)
Source: RNAcentral